Molecule: ribosomal RNA, 1001 nt
Filed under: Francisella tularensis
Lineage: Bacteria; Pseudomonadati; Pseudomonadota; Gammaproteobacteria; Thiotrichales; Francisellaceae
Description: bacterial SSU rRNA
Rfam family: Bacterial small subunit ribosomal RNA
Source: RNAcentral
GGUGCAAGCGUUAAUCGGAAUUACUGGGCGUAAAGGGUCUGUAGGUGGUUUGUUAAGUCAGAUGUGAAAGCCCAGGGCUCAACCUUGGAACUGCAUUUGAUACUGGCAAACUAGAGUACGGUAGAGGAAUGGGGAAUUUCUGGUGUAGCGGUGAAAUGCGUAGAGAUCAGAAGGAACACCAAUGGCGAAGGCAACAUUCUGGACCGAUACUGACACUGAGGGACGAAAGCGUGGGGAUCAAACAGGAUUAGAUACCCUGGUAGUCCACGCUGUAAACGAUGAGUACUAGCUGUUGGAGUCGGUGUAAAGGCUCUAGUGGCGCAGCUAACGCGAUAAGUACUCCGCCUGGGGACUACGGCCGCAAGGCUAAAACUCAAAGGAAUUGACGGGGACCCGCACAAGCGGUGGAGCAUGUGGUUUAAUUCGAUGCAACGCGAAGAACCUUACCUGGUCUUGACAUCCUGCGAACUUUCUAGAGAUAGAUUGGUGCCUUCGGGAACGCAGUGACAGGUGCUGCACGGCUGUCGUCAGCUCGUGUUGUGAAAUGUUGGGUUAAGUCCCGCAACGAGCGCAACCCCUAUUGAUAGUUACCAUCAUUAAGUUGGGUACUCUAUUAAGACUGCCGCUGACAAGGCGGAGGAAGGUGGGGACGACGUCAAGUCAUCAUGGCCCUUACGACCAGGGCUACACACGUGCUACAAUGGGUAUUACAGAGGGCUGCGAAGGUGCGAGCUGGAGCGAAACUCAAAAAGGUACUCUUAGUCCGGAUUGCAGUCUGCAACUCGACUGCAUGAAGUCGGAAUCGCUAGUAAUCGCAGGUCAGAAUACUGCGGUGAAUACGUUCCCGGGUCUUGUACACACCGCCCGUCACACCAUGGGAGUGGGUUGCUCCAGAAGUAGAUAGCUUAACGAAUGGGCGUUUACCACGGAGUGAUUCAUGACUGGGGUGAAGUCGUAACAAGGUAGCCGUAGGGGAACCUGCGGCUGGAUCACCUCCUUAA